RNAcentral lists this ribosomal RNA (854 nucleotides) under uncultured bacterium. RNAcentral's name for it is "bacterial SSU rRNA". It matches the Rfam family "Bacterial small subunit ribosomal RNA", at positions 8 to 862 of the family's 1533-position model. The record is from RNAcentral.
AGAGUUUGAUCCUGGCUCAGGAUGAACGCUAGCGGCAGGCCUAAUACAUGCAAGUCGGACGGGAUAGAAGAGCUUGCUUUUCUUGAGAGUGGCGCACGGGUGCGUAACACGUAUGUAACCUACCCUUGUCAGGGGGAUAGCCUCUCGAAAGAGAGAUUAAGCCCGCAUAACACUAUGAUAUGGCAUCAUAUUAUAAUCAAAUAUUUAUAGGACAAGGAUGGGCAUGCGGAACAUUAGCUAGUUGGUAAGGUAACAGCUUACCAAGGCUACGAUGUUUAGGGGAUCUGAGAGGAUGGCCCCCCACACUGGUACUGAGACACGGACCAGACUCCUACGGGAGGCAGCAGUAAGGAAUAUUGGUCAAUGGGCGCAAGCCUGAACCAGCCAUGCCGCGUGCAGGAAGACGGCCCUACGGGUUGUAAACUGCUUUUGCAGGGGAAUAAACCUCAGGUCGUGACCUGAGUUGAAUGUACUCUGAGAAUAAGGAUCGGCUAACUCCGUGCCAGCAGCCGCGGUAAUACGGAGGAUCCGAGCGUUAUCCGGAUUUAUUGGGUUUAAAGGGUGCGUAGGUGGCUUUUUAAGUCAGGGGUGAAAGACGGUAGCUUAACUAUCGCAGUGCCUUUGAUACUGAAGAGCUUGAAUGGACUAGAGGUAGGCGGAAUGUGACAAGUAGCGGUGAAAUGCAUAGAUAUGUCACAGAACACCAAUUGCGAAGGCAGCUUACUAUGGUUUUAUUGACACUGAGGCACGAAAGCGUGGGGAUCAAACAGGAUUAGAUACCCUGGUAGUCCACGCCCUAAACGAUGAAUACUCGAUGUUAGCGAUAUACAGUUAGCGUCAAAGCGAAAGCGUUA